RNAcentral lists this ribosomal RNA (776 nucleotides) under uncultured Neocallimastigales. RNAcentral's name for it is "partial large subunit ribosomal RNA". It matches the Rfam family "Eukaryotic large subunit ribosomal RNA", at positions 22 to 621 of the family's 3401-position model. The record is from RNAcentral. Lineage: Eukaryota; Fungi; Neocallimastigomycota; Neocallimastigomycetes; Neocallimastigales.
UAUAUCAGUCAUGCAUAGCAUAUCAAUAAGCGGAGGAAAAGAAACUAACAAGGAUUCCCUUAGUAACGGCGAGUGAAGCGGGUAAGAGCUCAAAUUUGAAAUCUUCAAGGUUUUACCUUGACGAAUUGUAGUUUAAAGAAGUGUUUUCUGUUGAAGUUUUGGUAAAAGUUCUUUGGAAUAGGACAUCAUAGAGGGUGAGAAUCCCGUAUUUGACCAUUACUUUCAGCUUUGUGAUACACUUUCAAAGAGUCGGAUUGUUUGGGAAUGCAGUCCAAAAUGGGUGGUAAAUUUCAUCUAAAGCUAAAUAUUGGCGAGAGACCGAUAGCGAACAAGUACCGUGAGGGAAAGAUGAAAAGAACUUUGAAAAGAGAGUUAAACAGUACGUGAAAUUGUCAAAAGGGAAGCGUUUGACACCAGUGUUGUUUUCUCGAAAAUCAAUUAAAAAGAGUUGGAUUUUGUGUUGUAUUGACUUUAUCGGCUUUCUUCACUCUUUUCCAGCUUUUUUUAAUGCACUUUUCGUUUAACAAGUCAACAUCAGUUUCUUUUGUUGUAAAAAGGUCAUUGCAAGGUGGCUUUCUCUUCGGAGAAAGUGUUUAUAGCCUUUGACUCAUGCAAUCGGAGAGACUGAGGUCUGCAGCGUAGAUCCUUCGGGGUUAGAUACAUUUGUGCUAAGUUAUAGCUUUUCAUAGACAACUUGUUGACUAUGUUUAGUCUUGUAGCUUACUCGCUUAUGCUAUUUUACCUACGCUUAGGAUGUUGAACUCUAUCACACACAG